UCCCUAGUAGUUCAGAUGGUAAAGCAUCUGCCUGCAAUGCAGGAGACCUGGGUUCAAUCCUUGGGUUGGGAA
This is a transfer RNA of Ovis aries (sheep), 72 nucleotides long. It matches the Rfam family "tRNA". From Rfam's summary of the family: Transfer RNA (tRNA) molecules are approximately 80 nucleotides in length. Lineage: Eukaryota; Metazoa; Chordata; Mammalia; Artiodactyla; Bovidae. The record is from Rfam.